This 863-nucleotide long non-coding RNA is filed under the name Mus musculus (house mouse). Its description in RNAcentral is "long non-coding RNA chr2:129936518-129937381". Lineage: Eukaryota; Metazoa; Chordata; Mammalia; Rodentia; Muridae. The record is from RNAcentral.
CUUCAUGUCUCUAUCUAGGGACUUCUUUUCCUCUGUACACCUGGCUGUAUUACAGCACCACGGAUACAACCUUAGCAUUCUCUAGAUAGUCCCCUAGAUGCACUGGAGAGGUACCAUGACUGCCACACCCAGUAACCUCCACUUGCCAGAAGAAGCCAGAUUUGGCCAUUGCUCCAAUUCUUUAAAUGGUAGAAAUUAUGAAGACAAGAGACAGACAUGAGACAAGUAGUUUAGGAACAAGGCCUUGAUUCAUGUCCUUGGGCAGCAGCUGAAAAUGGCCUUGGUCCUAUCCCAGCAGGAAGACAGAAGCAUCACUCAUGUUUGGGGUUCUCAUCCCAAGUCUUGGUUACUUUAGGCUUUAGUCUUCACUGCACAGAGGAUGAUGAGAACAGGAGUUAGAAGCUGGUCAAGAUGAGCAAGGAUCCCAGAGCAGCAUUCCCAAGACAUCAGAAGAGUCUGGCUCCUGCUUCUUGGUUAUGCCCUACAGAUGAGCACUUCUGAAUACCCACCUAUGUGAAUGAGACUGAGAGGAGGCUCCCGGACACCUGGUUGGGCAGCUGGGUUGGACAGCUCACCUGCUACCCAUACUUCACCACUUUUUAAAAAAAGCCCCAUUGCAACAGCUCAAGCUUAUUUUCUGGAACCCUUCUUGCUCUCUUUCUCAUUCAAGCUACUACCUAUGAAUCAACGAUAAGCAUCUCUCUAGAACUCACCCUCUGUUCAUUUCACUCUCAAAGACACCGCAGCAAGGUCUACACCUUUACUCCCAACACUGGAGAGGCAAGAGAAGGAAGAUCCCUGUGAGUUCAAGACCAUUCCAAUAUCUAUGAAGAGUCUAGCCUAUUAUGGGAUACAUGGAGUGA